RNAcentral lists this ribosomal RNA (465 nucleotides) under Vreelandella stevensii. RNAcentral's name for it is "partial 16S ribosomal RNA". It matches the Rfam family "Bacterial small subunit ribosomal RNA", at positions 338 to 795 of the family's 1533-position model. The record is from RNAcentral. Lineage: Bacteria; Pseudomonadati; Pseudomonadota; Gammaproteobacteria; Oceanospirillales; Halomonadaceae.
CCUACGGGUGGCUGCAGUGGGGAAUAUUGGACAAUGGGCGAAAGCCUGAUCCAGCCAUGCCGCGUGUGUGAAGAAGGCCUUCGGGUUGUAAAGCACUUUCAGCGGGGAAGAAAGCCUUGGGGCUAAUACCCUCGAGGAAGGACAUCACCCACAGAAGAAGCACCGGCUAACUCCGUGCCAGCAGCCGCGGUAAUACGGAGGGUGCGAGCGUUAAUCGGAAUUACUGGGCGUAAAGCGCGCGUAGGCGGUCUGAUAAGCCGGUUGUGAAAGCCCCGGGCUCAACCUGGGAACGGCAUCCGGAACUGUCAGGCUAGAGUGCAGGAGAGGAAGGUAGAAUUCCCGGUGUAGCGGUGAAAUGCGUAGAGAUCGGGAGGAAUACCAGUGGCGAAGGCGGCCUUCUGGACUGACACUGACGCUGAGGUGCGAAAGCGUGGGUAGCAAACAGGAUUAGAUACCCCAGUAGUC